CUCGUAGGCGGUUUGGUAAGUCGGGUGUGAAAACUCUGGGCUCAACCCAGAGAGGCCACUCGAUACUGCUAUGACUAGAGUACGGUAGGGGAGCGGGGAAUUCCUGGUGUAGCGGUGAAAUGCGCAGAUAUCAGGAGGAACACCAGUGGCGAAGGCGCCGCUCUGGGCCGUAACUGACGCUGAGGAGCGAAAGCAUGGGUAGCAAACAGGAUUAGAUACCCUGGUAGUCC
RNAcentral lists this ribosomal RNA (230 nucleotides) under uncultured bacterium. RNAcentral's name for it is "partial 16S ribosomal RNA". It matches the Rfam family "Bacterial small subunit ribosomal RNA", at positions 568 to 796 of the family's 1533-position model. The record is from RNAcentral.